This 249-nucleotide long non-coding RNA is filed under the name Rattus norvegicus (Norway rat). Its description in RNAcentral is "long non-coding RNA NONRATT017314". The record is from RNAcentral. Lineage: Eukaryota; Metazoa; Chordata; Mammalia; Rodentia; Muridae.
UGCUCCAUCCCCACGACCAAGGUGUGUCUGAACGCCACAAAAGCCCUCACCAUGCUGGCUGAAGCCCCCGAGGGCCGUAAGUUACUGCUGCCCCGUGUGCCCACCUUCCGUUACCUCCUGACGCAUAAAAAUGAGGCCAUACGGCGAGCAGCCGAAGUCGCCAUCAAAGUGAUUGAGUGGAAGCCGUGACUCCCGUUUCGGCCAGACCCGAUAGGCUAACUCUGUCCCUGAAUAAACGAGUUGACUCUC